RNAcentral lists this long non-coding RNA (1169 nucleotides) under Cyanistes caeruleus (blue tit). RNAcentral's name for it is "lncRNA (ENSCCEG00000011699.1)". Lineage: Eukaryota; Metazoa; Chordata; Aves; Passeriformes; Paridae. The record is from RNAcentral.
AGUACUCUGAUGGUUUUGGCUGUAAUAUAAUUAGCAAUGUGGAAUGAAAUGAUGGAUCUUUUAUUUUUGACAAAUUUCUGAAAUAGACUUCAAUGUGAUGCAUUAAAACAUCUCCAUGAGGCUUUAUCUUCUUCUCGUGAGGCAGCAGAACAAACCAGCUGUCAUGGAAUAUAUGCUGUUUAUAGGGCAAUAUUCUUCCACUUCUUUGAAAAGAACUAAUGAAGGCUGCAAAUUCACAAUGAUUUAAUUACAUUUUAAAUGCACCAAGAAGCCGUAAUGAAAAGAUUUAAGCAUCUUAAUUAUGCUAUCAAUAUUACCUAAUGCAGAGAGAAAUGGAAAACCUACUAGGCAGUAAGUAACUUAAAUGGCUGAAAUUAUGUGAAAUAUUCAAUAUUAUCUGAUUUCACUUUCAGGUUCUAAAAAGUAGCCAUAGAAAUUUUCACCUUAAGAUUCCCUAUAGCAACACAUAUUUUAAAUUUUCAGAAAAAGUACUGGACAACACAGCUGAGAGCACAGUCUCACUUAACAAUGUUACAGUGGUAGAAUAAAUAUGAGAAAUUGGAAUCCAAUGUGUAAAACCUCUGAACACCUAGUAAACAAUUACAUAGUGUUAUUUUUUGACGUGAUAGUCCAUGCAUGAAGUAACACCUAUUAUUGCUUUUUGUCUGUUGCUUUCCUGAAGGUUUUGUGCCCCCCUCCUUUCUGUUCAUUUCUAUCACAGUUUCUCCAGUUGCAAUGUAUUUGUAUUCCUUUGAGAUGAACCAGUGUCACUCCGGAGCUCUCAGUGUGCUGCGUGUGGACUGAAAGACAUCAACAGCCCACAUGUGGGAAGGCCAGCUUCUCUUCCCUUCUUGCCAGCAUGCCUCACUCCUCCAUUUAGUCACUGGACUUGCAGGUGGGACAGAAUUUGGAAACAAGACCUUAUAUUCAAAGUUUGCUGUAACAGGAGACGCAGUGCAUCUGUGGAUCCCUGCACUUGUAUGUGCCUGCCAGCCAACAAACCUGUGAAAGCUCUAAUGGAAACAGAAACUGAAUUGAAAGAGAGUCAUUCCUACCUGCAGCCUGCUUCAGAUGUAAUGAUUAUGAUUACAAACAACAAUGACUUUUCACAGUACAGUAUUUUUGACCACAAUUGGGUUCUACAUGAACUUGUUCUUAUGUAUACAUAA